UGCAGGAUCCCGCGAACCAUCGAGUUUUUGAACGCAAGUUGCGCCCGAAGCCUUCUGGCCGAGGGCACGUCUGCCUGGGUGUC
This 83-nucleotide ribosomal RNA is filed under the name Euphorbia maculata. Its description in RNAcentral is "partial 5.8S ribosomal RNA". It matches the Rfam family "5.8S ribosomal RNA", at positions 73 to 153 of the family's 154-position model. From Rfam's summary of the family: 5.8S ribosomal RNA (5.8S rRNA) is a component of the large subunit of the eukaryotic ribosome. Lineage: Eukaryota; Viridiplantae; Streptophyta; Magnoliopsida; Malpighiales; Euphorbiaceae. The record is from RNAcentral.